GCCAAUCACGUGCAGCACUAGUGCGAGAGAACUGAAGCAUAUGUACGUUUCGCAUUGCAGUACAGAGACUAUAGCAUAUUGCUUAUCAACAAAGCAAUACAUAAUCACAAUGUAAUAUAUCUCGCACAAUCAGAUGUGUUUCGUGCCCUGGGCUCUGAGUUCUAAUCUGCAGGAAUCAUUGACCCUCCCUCAUUGCACACAUUAUGUCAGACUGGGAGGGGUGGUGGGAAUGCAGAGAUUCCAUGCGUGACGCUUGCUUAGACGCGCCACAUCGUACCCAUGCACAGAAUUCCCUCCAUGGCACCCUCGGUUGAUAGGAACUAGCCCCAUCCACCCUGACCUUACACCCUUUUUAGGGUUUGAAAGUGGCACACCAAAGUCUCUCCUAAACCCCACCCACUUCUGUAUCCCCCAUACUGCCAAUGCGGAAAGAAAGAGAAAUCCCUGCAGCUACGCAAACCAAAAAAUGUUCAUAAGAAGCACUUUUAAUUGCCAGAUUGCAUGUGUUAAC
Pelobates cultripes (western spadefoot toad) is the source of this 511-nucleotide non-coding RNA. NCBI's taxonomy places the organism in Eukaryota, Metazoa, Chordata, Amphibia, Anura, Pelobatidae. The record is from the annotation of a GenBank genome assembly.